RNAcentral lists this ribosomal RNA (253 nucleotides) under uncultured bacterium. RNAcentral describes it as "partial 16S ribosomal RNA". It matches the Rfam family "Bacterial small subunit ribosomal RNA", at positions 524 to 776 of the family's 1533-position model. The record is from RNAcentral.
UACGUAGGGGUCGAGCGUUGUCCGGAGUUACUGGGCGUAAAGCGCGCGCAGGCGGCGCGAUAAGACCGGCGUGAAAGCCCCCGGCUCAACCGGGGAGGGUCACGCGAUACUGAUCGACUCGAAGGCAGGAGAGGGUAGUGGAAUUCCCGGUGUAGUGGUGAAAUGCGUAGAUAUUGGGAGGAACACCAGUGGCGAAGGCGGCUCACUGGACCGGAACUGACGCUGAGGCGCGAAAGCGUGGGGAGCAAACAGG